CUUCUUAGCAGCCUCAUCUCGUGUUGAGUCGUGCAGAUUCUCUGUUGAGGUUACUGGAGAUUUUUCAAUGUUCUUUGUUUUUUGACUGUUUAGGUGUGCUAUUUAUAUUGUCACUAGUAUCAUGACUCGGUUUUGUUGUCAAACACCUCGAGAUACCUGGUCUUCUGUCAACACUUUUAAGAUUUUUGGGUUUUUCCUUUUGCUGAUGGGAAUUGUCUUUUCCAGCGGACUUACUUUCCUGAGUACCAAGGUUCAAAUGUGAAUGUUCCGUGUCACUCUCUGACCUACUUCUACCCUUGGUAUUCAGGAGAG
Molecule: long non-coding RNA, 312 nt
Filed under: Mytilus galloprovincialis (Mediterranean mussel)
Lineage: Eukaryota; Metazoa; Mollusca; Bivalvia; Mytilida; Mytilidae
Source: RNAcentral